GGUUAGAGAUAGUGAAAUCCAAAACUCUCUCCCUCCUUCAAGAGAGAUCGUGAACGGUAAUGGUGGUGCGGCCGAUUCCUCUCCUCCGAUCGACAACAACAACUAACAUUGCCUUCUUCUCUUUUCAUCACAAAUGGCAGCGCGACCUCCAUCUCCAGCGAUAUCUCCUUUUCGUCUUCGUUUGAUCCUCUCCGUCUCCGAUUUUUUCGAUUCAUGUUAGUUUUUGUUCAACAUCAUGUUUUAGUAACCUAAUUUGUUUGAUUUUACAGAGAUUAACGCAAAUUCUAAAAGGGAAAACGAAACCCUAGUUGUAAGCAGAAUAGGGUUCGAGAAGAAGAAAGUCGCACUGAAGAGAGAACUAAGGGAUUGGGUAGCGCGCCAUCUCCCGUGUACGAUUCUUCUCCCCAACCUUCACCUUUCUCUUUUCUCUGCGUACAAAUCUAACCCUUCUUCGCCUUUUUCGUCGAAUUUGCCUUUGAUUUUUGGACAUCAUUCCGGUUUCUCUAAUGAGUCUGCUACUCCUCCUAAACCUCAUAGGAAAGAGCCCAAGACACCCCACAAGGUUUUGGAUGUGCCUUAUGAUGGUGUUUGUUCUGUCCAGUGGACCAAGGAGGGUUCUUUCAUAUCUAUUGGUAUAAACCUUGGUCAAGUUCAGGGGUGUCUGGAAUCGAGAAAUAUUCGUGCGUGAUUGAUAUGAAGUGCAGUAGUCACAAAGGGUUUUCUGAGAAUUCACAAGGUGAGAGGAUUUGUAGGAUUUGUCAUUUGGCUUUUGGACCUGCGUUAGAUGCAGCAAUUGUCGAAAGUGCGAGCGUUACGAGUGGAGAUUUUAUUCAACUUGGUUGCGUGUGUAUAGACGAGCUCGGCAUUGCUCAUGUUUAUUAUGCUGAAGUGUGGUUCAAGCUAAAGGGAAACAGGAUCAGGCUUCCAAUGUUGACGUUCUUCUAACUGAUGCUAAUGGUGUUUUUCAAUCAAUCAAGGAUUAGCUCUCGAAGCUCUUAGUGGAGUGUUUUCACUUGCAUCUUCUGAAAUCGAUCAGAGUAAGGUCAAUAUAGUAAAAACUGGCAUAGUGAAGCUAUUUGACAGCAUCGAGAAAUAUGGUAUGUGGAGCCUUUUGCUUUUAACUCAUUCUAAGUGAUAGAUAUUCAUGACUGUUUAUAAACUUUGAAUUAUCUUGCAUGGAUUUAGUAGCAAUAAUGUCAUGUUUGUUGCAUUUUAUUUCAUUCCAUCUUGUUUCUUAUUUGGUUUACUUUGGAAGGAGGGGGGAUUAAAAGUUAAUUAUGUUACAGUCACCUCCUUAAGAUCUAAGGUGAUAAUGUGUGACUGCAAGUGUAAUAGGACCUUAUAGUGUGUGACUGCAAGUAUACUAGAAUUGAUGGUUUCUCUUAAGUAAGAUCGGACGGUGGUGAUGGCCUAAAACUCUCAGCGUUUGAUGUUGCUUCCACAAUACUUCAGGAAGUUGCUUCUGCUUUACAUUCUAUCGGCAUUCAAGUAGAACAGUUACAUGCAGAAGCGGGUAAAAGUCAAUUUGAGUUGGUUUUAGAGAUGUCAGUACUAUAGUGGUUGCCAUGCUCCUUGGAAGUAUG
Vicia villosa (hairy vetch) is the source of this 1583-nucleotide RNA transcript. RefSeq lists it as uncharacterized. The transcript is spliced from 7 exons. The record is from RefSeq and is a predicted model, not a curated record. Lineage: Eukaryota; Viridiplantae; Streptophyta; Magnoliopsida; Fabales; Fabaceae.